UGCGCAGGCGCAACUAAGAACUCGGUCCCGGAAUUGGGACGGGGUGAAGGCGGCUCUGGAAUGUCCGCGGCCUGGAUCCUGUGUGCGCAGGCGCAGUCCCGGUGUCUACUGGACUCCAGGGGUGCCUAGUUGCGUCUGCAACCCUGGGUGUUCUCCCGCCUGCCGUCGCUCCGCCUACGUCUAGACUCCGCCCGGCUGCCCAGGCUCGAAUUGCGCAAUCGGUAGCGGGGAAAGCGCUACGUGGAGACCGGAUUCGGUGGAUGCUGAGCUCCGGAGCUGGGAGGCUAGAGGGCGGUAAUUUCUAAACUGUUUGCUCAGUUGCUGAACCUAUUAUACAACUGUGGACACCAGCAAAAGAAACCUCGAUUCAGCAGCAACAGCAAACACUCCAUUUGCGGAAAGGCUACAUUUUCUGCUUGGAGCCCAGCCCCCUGGCCAAACCUGCACAGACCCCCCGUCCUGCGAAGUCCUGCGGUCUCUAUCGAUGCACACUAGUUUCUUUGUGACCUCCUCCCCCAGGACCUUGAAUGGAUGCUGAACAUCCCUCCUGAGAAACCUGAGGAGGAUAUUAAAAAGACAGCCAUGGUUUUCCUACUGCUUACUGCCAAGUUUCUUGAGGGCCCAGCUGUUGGGUUUUUAACCAGUUGAGAAGUAAGACAAAGGAGUCAGCAGGUCAUCAAUGCUACUUUACAGAGCAUAGCUUCUGACUUGGAGCAAGUGGAGUUGUUAACACAGACUCCAGAAUUUGACCACUCACCAUCUUUGGGCAACACCAGAACAGGGCAGGCUCCCUCGUGUGGAAAAGGUGCUCCCUGUGUGGGUAGCUCCUAAGAAAAGGAACAGAGGCAGGAAUUAAGCCAUGCGUGACUUCUUUCUCCUUCUAAACACAGCGGCCAGGUAAGUCAGUUCACCUCCCUGGGGGAGGAAUAUGCGAGGGAGCAGAAGAAGCCAGGUGCGUUGUGCUAAUGGGUGUCCCUCCACCUGGACAAGGUAAAUCAAGAGGGGGCUGGGAAUGAGCUUCCAACGUCCAUCUGGCCCAGAGUCAGUAGUGGGAGACGACCAGAAUCAGGAGGAUUUAACUGGGGCUGGAGUGGAAGGAAGGGGCACUGGAGUGUGCUGCAAGAUAUUUAACAGUUAGCUCUCCAGAAAAACAGUCUAUCAGUUUAUACAUUUUACUGUAGAAGGGUGUGUAGCACACAAUUUAUAAGUGCUAAUGAAACAUACAAUAUUCUUUAUUUUAAAUUCCAUACAGCCAACUCAUUCUGACUUUCAUUGAGUUUUGCUGAACUUAGAGCCAUAGCCAACCUGCGGUUUCAGUUCAGCCAUGACUGGACAAGUGGAGUAAUUUCCACCAUCCAAAUAACAAUAGGUGAAAAUAACUUACAGGCAUACACAAUAGUAAAAUGUCAUAAGAUUAUUAAGAAGUGA
This is a long non-coding RNA of Phyllostomus discolor (pale spear-nosed bat), 1428 nucleotides long. RefSeq lists it as uncharacterized. The transcript is spliced from 3 exons. NCBI's taxonomy places the organism in Eukaryota, Metazoa, Chordata, Mammalia, Chiroptera, Phyllostomidae. The record is from RefSeq and is a predicted model, not a curated record.